Leopardus geoffroyi (Geoffroy's cat) is the source of this 1723-nucleotide long non-coding RNA. RefSeq lists it as uncharacterized. The transcript is spliced from 3 exons. Lineage: Eukaryota; Metazoa; Chordata; Mammalia; Carnivora; Felidae. The record is from RefSeq and is a predicted model, not a curated record.
GGGCUCAAAUCUAUGAACUGUGACAUCAUGACCUGAACCAAAGUUGGACACUUAACCAAGUGAGCCACCCAGGCUUCCCAAGAGCCCAUGUUCUUUAUACUGGACCACAUUGUCCUCUGACCCCAGUUGGUGCUUUAUAUACUGAAAAGCCCUGUAGAGAAACUGGAAAUGAAACCGAGGAACACGGGUUGGCGUGCUUGUAGUUCUGACGCAAUGCAACGUGCACACAUCACUAGCCUCACCGAAAUUCAAACAAAAGGCAACUGCAGCUCCGAACAGUGCUUGCCAGAACGCUGGAAACGGACGUGUGUUUACAGCGUAAGUGCAAGUAGAGUGCAUCUGGGAACAAAGAGGCAGGUAUUUGAAGCAUUCAAGAGUCUCUGCUUCCUUCUCUGCAAGACAGCAGUGAUAAUAAUACCUCAAGAUCUCACAUCAAGACUGUUGUGAGCACCAAGUGGAAUCGUUUCUACUGUGGAGAAGCAAACACUUCAGUUUCAGUCAGUCUGACUUAUUUUGGAGUAUGGCUUCUUCUGAGCCCUUUGGCCAGUCAGUGGACUGCACUCGUUCCAUGAGGGACAGAUGUAGCUUUUUUAAUAGAUUCAAACACCAUUGUAGUUUACCCAGGGCUCCUCAGGGUUGACUCUAAAGGGUGCCCCUUGUUUGAAUGGUCUUUGGCCUGAAGAGGGCCCAGCAACAGCUUGUAGGCAAAGACUUGUUGUCCUCUGAGGGCCCUCCCUGGAUACUGCACGCAGCUGCUGCCCCCAGUAGCAUGAACUGUGGCUUUGUCGACAAUGAGAGCUUGAAAACUUUAUGUAUCUUGUUUUCCAGUGAUACUCAAGAAUUCAACAAACCCAGUUGGUAGGAAGCUAAGUUACUGGUCUGGCAAAGGAUUGAGCAGAAAAACCUAAAAUUGUGAAACACCUACACAUUCGUUUGAACCAGAACUGGCCUCCAGGGGGCGCUUCAGUACAGCGAACGGCAGCUGCUGGCAGCACCUCCGGCGAUAUCCUUAUAUAAGGGGGAUUCACGGAAAUCAGGCUUCUCUAGCUGCACGAUACAGGGAAGAUCUGGCCUUUGUCACUGUUCAAGCUAGGACCCUGAAGAGGUCAGGGGGCGCAGGGGGCUGCAAAAGCUCCUGGCUCCAAGCAAAGGAACAUACAUAGGUUUAGGCUCCGGCCGCGACGGAGCCCAGAGCAGCUUGGCCAGGGCAGCAAGGUUUGGGCUUGGCCUGCUGGGAUAACGAGCCCAGAGCUUCAGGCUGCGUCUUCUUACAUCCAGGAGGCCUUGCCCAGCCUCACAGCCCCAGACGAGGCGCUUAGAUUGGCCGGCAGCCUGCCCAAGAUCUGCAGACGUGGUAGAUAGCACCUGGGUUGAAAUCCUCUCCCUCUGCUCCCCCACACACCUCAUUCUCGCCCUCUCCUAUUUACAAAGCACUUUUUCUUGUGUGAUCUCAUUUGCUGCUCACAAAUUCCCCGGGAGGCGGGACAGGGUGGGGCCCUCCCUUGCUCUCAGGAGCCCUGGGAGGACACAGUGCAUCAUGAAGAUCCCCUUCCUGGUCUGUCUCUCCCAGCAAAUCUCAAGUUCCCUGGGGGCAACUACUGAAUUCAAUGUGGUGGUUUCAGGGCUUAGUGCUAGGUGCUUGGCACGCUGGAGGUGUUCAAAAUUGUUUACUGAAUGAAUAAAUAUAUAUGUUUAAAUUUUUUAAUGUUUGUUUAUUUCUGAG